AGCUCCAAUAGCAUAUAUUAAAGUUGCUGCGGUUAAAAAGCUCGUAGUUGAUAUUCUGGCAGGGUCGACUGGUCCACCUCCUGGGUGAGAAUUUAGCUUGGCUCGGCCACUUUCUGGCGAAACUUUUUCACACUUGGUUGUGUGAGAAGCUGCUCAGAUCUUUACUUUGAGGAAAUUAGAGUGUUUCAAGCAGGCGCACGCCUUGAAUAUGUGAGCAUGGAAUAAUAAGAUCUUGCCUCGACUCUGCUUUUGUUGGUUCCCUUUGUUGGGGUAAGGAUUUGUAGGGCCAGUUGGGGGGCAUUCGUAUUUAACUGUCAGAGGUGAAAUUCUUGGAUUUGUUAAAGAUGGCCCAGUGCGAAAGCAUUUGCCAAGAAUGUUCUCAUUGAUCAAGAACGAAAGU
RNAcentral lists this ribosomal RNA (400 nucleotides) under phytoplankton environmental sample. RNAcentral describes it as "partial small subunit ribosomal RNA". It matches the Rfam family "Eukaryotic small subunit ribosomal RNA", at positions 587 to 990 of the family's 1831-position model. The record is from RNAcentral.